GGAAAUCAACUGACCUGGAGGUCCAGCUCCUGCAAAGAUUAGACAGAGCAGAGAAAAUAUCAAUUCUCGCUCAAGAAGACAUCUCAUCUGUCAUCAGAGAGGCACCAGUGUUGGUUUCUGAGCGAGACAUGGAGAGAUGGAAGAAAGGGAG
Perca fluviatilis (European perch) is the source of this 151-nucleotide long non-coding RNA. RefSeq lists it as uncharacterized. The transcript has 3 exons. NCBI's taxonomy places the organism in Eukaryota, Metazoa, Chordata, Actinopteri, Perciformes, Percidae. The record is from RefSeq and is a predicted model, not a curated record.